This 2900-nucleotide ribosomal RNA is filed under the name Klebsiella pneumoniae. Its description in RNAcentral is "bacterial LSU rRNA". It matches the Rfam family "Bacterial large subunit ribosomal RNA". Lineage: Bacteria; Pseudomonadati; Pseudomonadota; Gammaproteobacteria; Enterobacterales; Enterobacteriaceae. The record is from RNAcentral.
UUAAGCGACUAAGCGUACACGGUGGAUGCCCUGGCAGUCAGAGGCGAUGAAGGACGUGCUAAUCUGCGAAAAGCGUCGGUAAGGUGAUAUGAACCGUUAUAACCGGCGAUGUCCGAAUGGGGAAACCCAGUGCAAUUCGUUGCACUAUCGUUAACUGAAUACAUAGGUUAACGAGGCGAACCGGGGGAACUGAAACAUCUAAGUACCCCGAGGAAAAGAAAUCAACCGAGAUUCCCCCAGUAGCGGCGAGCGAACGGGGAGCAGCCCAGAGUCUGAAUCAGCUUGUGUGUUAGUGGAACGGUCUGGAAAGUCCGACGGUACAGGGUGAUAGUCCCGUACACCAAAAUGCACAGGCUGUGAACUCGAAGAGUAGGGCGGGACACGUGGUAUCCUGUCUGAAUAUGGGGGGACCAUCCUCCAAGGCUAAAUACUCCUGACUGACCGAUAGUGAACCAGUACCGUGAGGGAAAGGCGAAAAGAACCCCGGCGAGGGGAGUGAAAAAGAACCUGAAACCGUGUACGUACAAGCAGUGGGAGCACCUUCGGGUGUGACUGCGUACCUUUUGUAUAAUGGGUCAGCGACUUAUAUUCUGUAGCAAGGUUAACCGUAUAGGGGAGCCGCAGGGAAACCGAGUCUUAACUGGGCGUUAAGUUGCAGGGUAUAGACCCGAAACCCGGUGAUCUAGCCAUGGGCAGGUUGAAGGUUGGGUAACACUAACUGGAGGACCGAACCGACUAAUGUUGAAAAAUUAGCGGAUGACUUGUGGCUGGGGGUGAAAGGCCAAUCAAACCGGGAGAUAGCUGGUUCUCCCCGAAAGCUAUUUAGGUAGCGCCUCGUGAACUCAUCUUCGGGGGUAGAGCACUGUUUCGGCUAGGGGGUCAUCCCGACUUACCAACCCGAUGCAAACUACGAAUACCGAAGAAUGUUAUCACGGGAGACACACGGCGGGUGCUAACGUCCGUCGUGAAGAGGGAAACAACCCAGACCGCCAGCUAAGGUCCCAAAGUCAUGGUUAAGUGGGAAACGAUGUGGGAAGGCACAGACAGCCAGGAUGUUGGCUUAGAAGCAGCCAUCAUUUAAAGAAAGCGUAAUAGCUCACUGGUCGAGUCGGCCUGCGCGGAAGAUGUAACGGGGCUAAACCAUGCACCGAAGCUGCGGCAGCGACACUAUGUGUUGUUGGGUAGGGGAGCGUUCUGUAAGCCUGCGAAGGUGUGCUGUGAGGCAUGCUGGAGGUAUCAGAAGUGCGAAUGCUGACAUAAGUAACGAUAAAGCGGGUGAAAAGCCCGCUCGCCGGAAGACCAAGGGUUCCUGUCCAACGUUAAUCGGGGCAGGGUGAGUCGACCCCUAAGGCGAGGCCGAAAGGCGUAGUCGAUGGGAAACAGGUUAAUAUUCCUGUACUUGGUGUUACUGCGAAGGGGGGACGGAGAAGGCUAUGUUAGCCGGGCGACGGUUGUCCCGGUUUAAGCAUGUAGGCUGAUUGUCCAGGCAAAUCCGGAUAAUCAAGGCUGAGGUGUGAUGACGAGGCACUACGGUGCUGAAGUAACAAAUGCCCUGCUUCCAGGAAAAGCCUCUAAGCAUCAGGUAACAUUAAAUCGUACCCCAAACCGACACAGGUGGUCAGGUAGAGAAUACCAAGGCGCUUGAGAGAACUCGGGUGAAGGAACUAGGCAAAAUGGUGCCGUAACUUCGGGAGAAGGCACGCUGGUGUGUAGGUGAAGUCCCUGCGGAUGGAGCUGAGACCAGUCGAAGAUACCAGCUGGCUGCAACUGUUUAUUAAAAACACAGCACUGUGCAAACACGAAAGUGGACGUAUACGGUGUGACGCCUGCCCGGUGCCGGAAGGUUAAUUGAUGGGGUUAUCCGUAAGGAGAAGCUCUUGAUCGAAGCCCCGGUAAACGGCGGCCGUAACUAUAACGGUCCUAAGGUAGCGAAAUUCCUUGUCGGGUAAGUUCCGACCUGCACGAAUGGCGUAAUGAUGGCCAGGCUGUCUCCACCCGAGACUCAGUGAAAUUGAACUCGCUGUGAAGAUGCAGUGUACCCGCGGCAAGACGGAAAGACCCCGUGAACCUUUACUAUAGCUUGACACUGAACAUUGAGCCUUGAUGUGUAGGAUAGGUGGGAGGCUUUGAAGCGUGGACGCCAGUCUGCGUGGAGCCAACCUUGAAAUACCACCCUUUAAUAUUUGAUGUUCUAACGUUGGCCCCUGACCGGGGUUGCGGACAGUGUCUGGUGGGUAGUUUGACUGGGGCGGUCUCCUCCCAAAGCGUAACGGAGGAGCACGAAGGUUAGCUAAUCCUGGUCGGACAUCAGGAGGUUAGUGCAAUGGCAUAAGCUAGCUUGACUGCGAGCGUGACGGCGCGAGCAGGUGCGAAAGCAGGUCAUAGUGAUCCGGUGGUUCUGAAUGGAAGGGCCAUCGCUCAACGGAUAAAAGGUACUCCGGGGAUAACAGGCUGAUACCGCCCAAGAGUUCAUAUCGACGGCGGUGUUUGGCACCUCGAUGUCGGCUCAUCACAUCCUGGGGCUGAAGUAGGUCCCAAGGGUAUGGCUGUUCGCCAUUUAAAGUGGUACGCGAGCUGGGUUUAGAACGUCGUGAGACAGUUCGGUCCCUAUCUGCCGUGGGCGCUGGAGAAUUGAGGGGGGCUGCUCCUAGUACGAGAGGACCGGAGUGGACGCAUCACUGGUGUUCGGGUUGUCAUGCCAAUGGCACUGCCCGGUAGCUAAAUGCGGAAGAGAUAAGUGCUGAAAGCAUCUAAGCACGAAACUUGCCCCGAGAUGAGUUCUCCCUGAGACUUUAAGUCUCCUGAAGGAACGUUGAAGACGACGACGUUGAUAGGCCGGGUGUGUAAGCGCAGCGAUGCGUUGAGCUAACCGGUACUAAUGAACCGUGAGGCUUAACCUU